GGCCCCGUAGCUCAGCUGGAUAGAGCACCAGAUUCCUAAUCUGGGGGCCGCAGGUUCAAUUCCUGCCGGGGUCGCCA
This 77-nucleotide transfer RNA is filed under the name Roseobacter denitrificans. Its description in RNAcentral is "tRNA-Arg". It matches the Rfam family "tRNA". From Rfam's summary of the family: Transfer RNA (tRNA) molecules are approximately 80 nucleotides in length. Their secondary structure includes four short double-helical elements and three loops (D, anti-codon, and T loops). Lineage: Bacteria; Pseudomonadati; Pseudomonadota; Alphaproteobacteria; Rhodobacterales; Roseobacteraceae. RNAcentral also lists the same sequence under 1 other name. The record is from RNAcentral.